RNAcentral lists this ribosomal RNA (435 nucleotides) under Oxyopes sertatus. Its description in RNAcentral is "partial 16S ribosomal RNA". Lineage: Eukaryota; Metazoa; Arthropoda; Arachnida; Araneae; Oxyopidae. The record is from RNAcentral.
UUCUAUUAAUCAUAAUUAAUAGUAAAAUCUGCUCAAUGAAAUAUUUGAAUAGCCGCAAUUGUGCUAAGGUAGCAUAAUCAUUUGUCUUUUAAUUAAAGACUAGAACAAAAGAUUUAACACUUAAAAUUAUUUCUUUAAUUUAAAUAUUAAAAUUAUCUUAAAAGUAAAAAGCCUUUUAUAUAACAGAAAGACGAUAAGACCCUAUUGAAUUUUACUUUAGUUUAACUGGGGCAGUUAAUUAAUUAAUAUUUUAAUAAAAAUACUUAUAAAACUGAUCUAAUAAAAUUAAUUAAAUGACCAAAUUACCGUAGGGAUAACAGCGUAAUAAAAUUUAAAAGAUCUUAUUUAAAAAAAUGAUUGCGACCUCGAUGUUGAUUUAAUAUUCUUAUCUGCGCAAUAGUGGAUAAAGAAAGUCUGUUCGACUCUUAAAAAAUU